GUCGAUUUUAAUAAUGAGUUAGAUGCCGCAGAAUGUAAGAUGUAGGUAAACGGACGCAAAAAUCCUUGUUUUACAAUGUCUGCAUCUCCGUAGUACUGACAUUUGAAAACUUUACUUUGCACAUACUUAUUUUAAGUACGAUAAAUGAAAGCGCUGUGGACUAGGAACAAGAGACAAAUUGCUUUCUUGUCCAAAUUGUCUCAGACCCUGUAUUUUCUUAGUCAUAGCCGUUUGUUAAGUAGGCAUUUGGUAGACUAUUGCAUGGAGGAUUGCGAGAGCAAGAUAUUACUAUCUGCGGUGGAAUGCUCGAAUUUCUUCUCUCAGCAAGGAUAAUGGGUAGCACAGUCUGACUUUAGACCCAUCCAGUGGUUCAGACUUAUAGAUAGUAUCCCAUACUUUACCGCAAUUCCUUGUUGAAUUAAGGCUUGCACUUCGAAUACAGACUACACACUUCUGGGUCUGUCUUGUACCACAUUGUCUGGCAUAGGCGCUCACUGUAUAUUUGUUGAAUGUUAAAGUUCUGUGCACCAAAACCGUGCACUUUGCAUCGAUUAUCUGCGAAAAGCAUGGUACACUAAAACUAGAUCUUGAAGAAUUCCCAUUUGAUCAUGAAUAGAGGUAAUCCACGUUUAAAAUACCAGGUGUUGCGUAAUCUCUACUUGGAGAUUAGCCACCCCGUGCGCCCAGGUGAAAGAUAUCAUUCUUCCGUGCGAUCCGAAGUGCCGUGGAAGUUAGUGCCCUAGCCCAGUCCAGGAGGAAGGGGCGUCGUGCCGGCGGUUUUAAGCUCGGAAGGGGCAGGGGAAUGAGCCCAGGGACCCCAGCGGGGCGCAG
Molecule: long non-coding RNA, 831 nt
Filed under: Homo sapiens (human)
Lineage: Eukaryota; Metazoa; Chordata; Mammalia; Primates; Hominidae
Description: HSALNT0024576
Source: RNAcentral